AGGCCAACGGGAGCCUCGACGAAGAAGAAGAAGCAGCGGAAGCGGAAAUGAGGCAGUUGUGUUUUGAAAGAGGGAAAUUUAAAACUCGACGGAGUAAAACCGACAUGAAUCAAAGCAACGAGAAGCAGAAGAACACGAGCUGAACGGAGCCGAACUUAAAGUUCUCAUCACACCAACAUGAAGAAGGUGAGAAGCUCCCGGCUGCACGACGCCGGCAACAUCGGGGAGGACUGUUGUGUCUUGUGCAGAUUAAGUGACGAUGAUCCGGCCAUGUUUGGAGAAAAGGUCACAAUAAAAGAGCACAAACUCACGGUCCACUACUUCUGUUUGCUGACGUCCUGUGGAGUUUACCAGCGAGGGAAGGACAAUGAGGGAGUCUUUGGUUUCCUGGUGGAAGACAUCAAACAGGAGAUGAGACGGUCGGCUCGACUGGUGAGAGAUCCACUUUGAUUUAAUGUUACAUCAGCUACGAGCGUCCAGAGAUCAGAG
Molecule: non-coding RNA, 489 nt
Organism: Paralichthys olivaceus (Japanese flounder)
Lineage: Eukaryota; Metazoa; Chordata; Actinopteri; Pleuronectiformes; Paralichthyidae
Source: RefSeq, a predicted model, not a curated record